GUGGUCGUAGCUCAGCCCGGUUAGAGCGCCAGGUUGUGGCCCUGGAGGUCGGGGGUUCAAGUCCCCUCGAUCACC
Molecule: transfer RNA, 75 nt
Filed under: Acidithrix ferrooxidans
Lineage: Bacteria; Bacillati; Actinomycetota; Acidimicrobiia; Acidimicrobiales; Acidimicrobiaceae
Rfam family: tRNA
About the family: Transfer RNA (tRNA) molecules are approximately 80 nucleotides in length. Their secondary structure includes four short double-helical elements and three loops (D, anti-codon, and T loops).
Source: Rfam by way of RNAcentral